Molecule: ribosomal RNA, 1507 nt
Filed under: Helicobacter pylori FD703
Lineage: Bacteria; Pseudomonadati; Campylobacterota; Epsilonproteobacteria; Campylobacterales; Helicobacteraceae
Description: bacterial SSU rRNA
Rfam family: Bacterial small subunit ribosomal RNA
Source: RNAcentral
UUUAUGGAGAGUUUGAUCCUGGCUCAGAGUGAACGCUGGCGGCGUGCCUAAUACAUGCAAGUCGAACGAUGAAGCUUCUAGCUUGCUAGAAUGCUGAUUAGUGGCGCACGGGUGAGUAACGCAUAGGUUAUGUGCCUCUUAGUUUGGGAUAGCCAUUGGAAACGAUGAUUAAUACCAGAUACUCCCUACGGGGGAAAGAUUUAUCGCUAAGAGAUCAGCCUAUGUCCUAUCAGCUUGUUGGUAAGGUAAUGGCUUACCAAGGCUAUGACGGGUAUCCGGCCUGAGAGGGUGAACGGACACACUGGAACUGAGACACGGUCCAGACUCCUACGGGAGGCAGCAGUAGGGAAUAUUGCUCAAUGGGGGAAACCCUGAAGCAGCAACGCCGCGUGGAGGAUGAAGGUUUUAGGAUUGUAAACUCCUUUUGUUAGAGAAGAUAAUGACGGUAUCUAACGAAUAAGCACCGGCUAACUCCGUGCCAGCAGCCGCGGUAAUACGGAGGGUGCAAGCGUUACUCGGAAUCACUGGGCGUAAAGAGCGCGUAGGCGGGAUAGUCAGUCAGGUGUGAAAUCCUAUGGCUUAACCAUAGAACUGCAUUUGAAACUACUAUUCUAGAGUGUGGGAGAGGUAGGUGGAAUUCUUGGUGUAGGGGUAAAAUCCGUAGAGAUCAAGAGGAAUACUCAUUGCGAAGGCGACCUGCUGGAACAUUACUGACGCUGAUUGCGCGAAAGCGUGGGGAGCAAACAGGAUUAGAUACCCUGGUAGUCCACGCCCUAAACGAUGGAUGCUAGUUGUUGGAGGGCUUAGUCUCUCCAGUAAUGCAGCUAACGCAUUAAGCAUCCCGCCUGGGGAGUACGGUCGCAAGAUUAAAACUCAAAGGAAUAGACGGGGACCCGCACAAGCGGUGGAGCAUGUGGUUUAAUUCGAAGAUACACGAAGAACCUUACCUAGGCUUGACAUUGAGAGAAUCCGCUAGAAAUAGUGGAGUGUCUGGCUUGCCAGACCUUGAAAACAGGUGCUGCACGGCUGUCGUCAGCUCGUGUCGUGAGAUGUUGGGUUAAGUCCCGCAACGAGCGCAACCCCCUUUCUUAGUUGCUAACAGGUUAUGCUGAGAACUCUAAGGAUACUGCCUCCGUAAGGAGGAGGAAGGUGGGGACGACGUCAAGUCAUCAUGGCCCUUACGCCUAGGGCUACACACGUGCUACAAUGGGGUGCACAAAGAGAAGCAAUACUGCGAAGUGGAGCCAAUCUUCAAAACACCUCUCAGUUCGGAUUGUAGGCUGCAACUCGCCUGCAUGAAGCUGGAAUCGCUAGUAAUCGCAAAUCAGCCAUGUUGCGGUGAAUACGUUCCCGGGUCUUGUACUCACCGCCCGUCACACCAUGGGAGUUGUGUUUGCCUUAAGUCAGGAUGCUAAAUUGGCUACUGCCCACGGCACACACAGCGACUGGGGUGAAGUCGUAACAAGGUAACCGUAGGUGAACCUGCGGUUGGAUCACCUCCUUUCUA